This 266-nucleotide long non-coding RNA is filed under the name Actinidia chinensis (golden kiwifruit). Its description in RNAcentral is "long non-coding RNA (ACHI_LNC001627)". Lineage: Eukaryota; Viridiplantae; Streptophyta; Magnoliopsida; Ericales; Actinidiaceae. The record is from RNAcentral.
UUUAGCUUUUUUUUUCAAUUAAUCCGUUUUUUUCAGCUCAUUUUUUUCUAGUUAACCCCCUUUUUAUGUAAUUUUAUUUCGUUAUUUUAUUAAAUUUAUUUUUUUUAAUCAUUUUUGUUUAUUAUUUUUUCUAUCAUUUUUUUUAAUUUUUGACACAUGUCAGAACCUCCCCCUCCCUUUAAAUUACCCUCAUACCCUUGAUACAUGUUAGAACAUCCGUCUCUUUUUAAAUUGCCCCCAACCCUUGACACAUGUUAGAACAUCCG